CAUAGGUUUGGUCCCAGCCUUUCUAUUAGUUGUUAGCAAAACUACACAUGCAAGUAUCCGCAUUACAGUGAGAAUGCCCUACAAAUCACAUACUGAUGUAAUAGGAGCAGGUAUCAAGCUCACUUAAAGUAGCUCAUAACACCUUGCUCAGCCACACCCCCACGGGAAACAGCAGUGACAAAAAUUAAGCAAUAAACGAAAGUUUGACUAAAUUAUGCUUACUAAGGGUUGGUUAAUUUCGUGCCAGCCACCGCGGUCAUACGAUUAACCCUAAUUAAUAGAGUUACGGCGUAAAACGUGUUUAAGGUACCUAAUAAACUAAAGUCAAACUCUAGCUAUGCUGUAAAAAGCUACAGCUACUGUAAGACCCAUAACGAAAGUAACUUUACUACCUAUCUGAACACACGAUAGCUAAGGCCCAAACUGGGAUUAGAUACCCCACUAUGCUCAGCCCUAAACCUAAAUAAUUAUAAUAACAAAAUUCUUUGCCAGAGUACUACUAGCUAAAGCUUAAAACUCAAAGGACUUGGCGGUGCUUUAUAUCCCUCUAGAGGAGCCUGUUCUAUAAUCGAUAAACCCCGAUAAACCUCACCAAUCCUUGCCAAUACAGCCUAUAUACCGCCAUCUCCAGCAAACCCUUAAAAGGAACCAUAGUAAGCUUAAUCACUACACAUAAAAACGUUAGGUCAAGGUGUAGCCUAUGGAUUGGAAAGAAAUGGGCUACAUUACCUAUCACUAGGUUAUCUAUCACUUCACGAAAGUCUCCGUGAAAUCGGAGCCCAAAGGUGGAUUUAGCAGUAAGCUAAGAAUAGAGUGCUUAACUGAAUAAGGCCAUGAAGCGCGCACACACCGCCCGUCACCCUCCUCAAAUAAUAAAUGAUAAAAUCCAAUCUUAUUAAUAAUUAUCAUAACUACUAGAGGAGACAAGUCGUAACAAGGUAAGCAUACUGGAAAGUGUGCUUGGAUAAUA
RNAcentral lists this non-coding RNA (970 nucleotides) under Macrophyllum macrophyllum. Its description in RNAcentral is "12S ribosomal RNA". It matches the Rfam family "Bacterial small subunit ribosomal RNA". Lineage: Eukaryota; Metazoa; Chordata; Mammalia; Chiroptera; Phyllostomidae. The record is from RNAcentral.